This 77-nucleotide transfer RNA is filed under the name Holosporaceae bacterium. RNAcentral describes it as "tRNA-Arg". It matches the Rfam family "tRNA". Rfam says of the family: Transfer RNA (tRNA) molecules are approximately 80 nucleotides in length. Their secondary structure includes four short double-helical elements and three loops (D, anti-codon, and T loops). Lineage: Bacteria; Pseudomonadati; Pseudomonadota; Alphaproteobacteria; Holosporales; Holosporaceae. The record is from RNAcentral.
GUGCUCGUAGCUCAAUUGGAUAGAGCGCCAGACUACGGAUCUGGAGGUUGGAGGUUCGACUCCUCUCGAGCGCACCA